This 455-nucleotide ribosomal RNA is filed under the name uncultured bacterium. RNAcentral describes it as "bacterial SSU rRNA". It matches the Rfam family "Bacterial small subunit ribosomal RNA", at positions 340 to 786 of the family's 1533-position model. The record is from RNAcentral.
UACGGAAGGCAGCAGUGGGGAAUAUUGCACAAUGGGCGAAAGCCUGAUGCAGCUAUGCCGCGUGUAUGAAGAAGGCCUUAGGGUUGUAAAGUACUUUCAUCGGGGAGGAAAAACAAAACUAAUAAUUUUAUUUCUUGACGUUACCCGAAAAAGAAGCACCGGCUAACUCCGUGCCAGCAGCCGCGGUAAUACGGAGGGUGCUAGCGUUAAUCAGAAUUACUGGGCGUAAAGAGCACGUAGGUGGUUUUUUUAAGUCAGAUGUGAAAUCCCUGGGCUUAACCUGGAACUGCAUUUUGAAACUGAAAUACUAGAGUAUCGUAGAGGGAGGUAGAAUUCUAGGUGUAGCGGUGAAAUGCGUAGAUAUCUGGAGGAAUACCUGGUGGCGAAAGCGGCCUCCUAAACGAAUACUGACACUGAGGUGCGAAAGCGUGGGGAGCAAACGAGGAUUAGAUACC